This 577-nucleotide long non-coding RNA is filed under the name Equus asinus (donkey). RNAcentral's name for it is "lncRNA (ENSEASG00005031267.1)". The record is from RNAcentral. Lineage: Eukaryota; Metazoa; Chordata; Mammalia; Perissodactyla; Equidae.
UGACAAGGCACUCCUCCCCAGCCUCUGCCUAAUAAAAGCCCCACAAUCUCACUCCCUAAGGAGCCGGUCACCUGCCCCUUUCCUUUUGCACCAUCUCCCUUGUGCCUCUCCUGUGCACAAGCUAAUGAACUUCUACUUUUCUACUCCCAUUUGUUGUUGAUCUUGACUUCCAUCCUAGGGGACAACAAGAACCCAAUGUGCCAGGAAUAUAUGGGUGACCACAAAGGGAUGGGACAGGGUGGGGCUUUCUUGAGACCCAGUCGAAGAUUAGACGGGCCUGUGUUGGACUGGCCUGGCCGCCCGGAUGUGGACAUAAAUGGCCCCAGCCAAACCUUCGUUUCAGACUCCAGCAUUUGGAGGAUCUCCUCUCCUGGUUUCAGGGGCACCGUGAGCCCCUGGGUCAGUCAUUAGCCUGACAAUCUGAUUUUUCUGUCUCAUUGAGUCUGCGUUCCACCCCUGGGAGCUCUCCGGAACUCUGUUUUGUCUCCUGUCAAGAACCCGGUGAGUAUUUUAGGUGCCUACUGAGUCGGUUCUGGGGACAGGAGACCUGUAAUUUAUUCUGCAAACUGUCCUUCCG